CCGCCAUUAGCUCUCACCAACACCUACAGCAGCUGAAACCCCCCCUUUGUCCAACAAAAUACACACACCCAUCAGGAAAAGAAAAAAAAAAGGAAGAGAGGAGAGGUAUCUGCAAAAAAAGGGGAGAGAAGAGUGAGGGCGGCACCGGCGGGCGUCACUACUGCCGCACCGUCAGGUUGCACAGAGAAGAGAGAGAGGGAGAGCUGAGGAAGGAGAAGAGAGGGAGACAGCGCCGGUGGGCAUCACUGCCAUCGUCGUCGUCGCUGUGCCGUCAGGAAGGAGAUCCAAGAGAAAGGAAGAGAGCGCCAGGGGAGGAGCUACUGCCACCGACCUGGAGCUCGCUGCACGCGCCCCGCCGCGUCGUCGUCAGGCCUGCCGUUGUCGCUGAAGAUUUGCCGUCGCCGAUGCCUGGUAACCAUCACCGAGCUGCAUGUUGUCAUCGCCGUUGAGGGAGUCGCCGCCGCUACUCGCCGCUUUGAGCUGCACCGUCGCAAUUGUGAUCACCAGAAACGGUGUUGUGGCCGUCAGAACUGCUUGGAGAUCGCCACUGCUUCUUCUGUCUCUGUUCAGACUCCACCACUGCCACUGCCACCAGAAACCACCACUGAGGCCUAAGUUAGUUUGAUUAUAUAGUCACCGCUGCUGCAGAACCAUCAGAGCUUGCGGCUGUUAUUAGAGCUGUCGUCCGGCCAAUUUAGAAGCUGCUACUGUGUCGUUCUAUUCUGUUUAUCAUGAUAUGUGGUUGUUGUCGUGAUCCCUACGGUUGCUUGGGAAUUUCUGCGGUUGCUGCCGAUUAACAUGAGAAUAAGGAUUUAAUGGGUUUAGUUAUGCAACUUACGACUAAUCGAGGAACCAGAUGAAGAAGCAUUAAGAAGAGUUAUACUGCAUUUGGUUUAUAUGUUGUUGUAUUAAUUAGAUUAUUUUCUUCCCUCGUCCUUGUUUUUAUAAAUUUUGUAAGAGAGAUAGGAGUUGUAUGUUUUAUAUAUAUUAUAUUAUAAGAUAUUAUGUAAGAAGUCUUGUAUAUGAAUCUACGUCUGCUUGUUUUUUUUAGGAUAAAGUAUUUAUUUUCGGAUGUCAAAGCAAUCAGCGAUACGGUGUUGAGUCACAGGCUCCUAUUUUAAUAUUAAGUAUAUGAAGUAGUCGUAAUACUUCUUGUUAUCAGAGUGGCGCAGCCAAAAGGGUGACAUUCUGGUAGUGAGGGUGUUACAUUUCUCUUCCUCCAUUCCUCUGAGCGCCCAAAUAUCCCUGCUGUCCUCAUUAGAUUUUAAAGCCUUGCCUUUGUUUUGUUGUUCCGUUCCUCCUGCUGUAUUUGUUAUGUUUUUAGCACCAAAACUGGCCUUCAGAAUCUCCCUUAUUAUUUUUGGGCCCAAUUCAUCCUCCGUUCUACAUCCCUCUUCUUUCCUACCCUUUUUUUGUGUCUUGCUGGUCCACUUCCAUUAGACUUGUAUGGUCCAAAUUGCUUGGGCUUCCUACUUUUUGGUUAAUACUUUUCUGUUCUCCCUGUUGUUUCCCGGUCCAGUACCCAGCUUCUAUUCCCUCUUUUAUUGGGCCUGGCCCAUUAGUAUUCAUUCCUCUUCUGGCCCUGAUCUCAUUUAAGUCUGUCAUAAUUUUUUCUAGUAUCUUCUUGGCUCUUCUAUUGUAAUUCCCUUGAUUUUCUGUCAUCCUCAACUGAUUAAGAGGGAUUUCUUCUAC
Molecule: long non-coding RNA, 1692 nt
Organism: Arachis duranensis
Lineage: Eukaryota; Viridiplantae; Streptophyta; Magnoliopsida; Fabales; Fabaceae
Exons: 4
Source: RefSeq, a predicted model, not a curated record